GCGCGCUCCCAUGCUGACAGGAGGGCUCUCAGCAGGGAAACCCUGGAAAACUCAUCCAGAGAAAGACAGAGAUCUUUCCACCAGGACACAUCACAACUCAACAGAAAGAGUCUUCAAAGAGAUAAGAAUAAGAGAGAUUCAAACCUGGGUGAAGAAGCGCAAGGAUAGUGCAAGAGCUUAGACAACAAUGAAAACUUUUAUUCUAGGACGAGAAAUAGAACAGGCUCAACUGCUUUGGUGUUUGUUGUAAAACUCUGGCCUAAAAGCAUUUUUCCUCUUAGUCCAUGUGUCAGCCUUCAGUAACAGCUCCUGCACGUUGGCUCAGCAGCGCGGGUGAGUCAGCGGCCCAGAGAGCGGGAGCGAGGAGCUGAGGGCACUCGCAGCCAGAACUGAGCUGAAACCAGGCAGAACUGAAAAGCUCUUCACCCAACAUGGUCUUCUCCUUUCAGCACAUUUAAACAUCCCUGUGGGAAAUGCUCUACCUGUGAGUCAGCAAAAUGCCUUAAGCACAGUUCACUGGAGAAGCCCUAUUUAAGUAACAACAGAAAGGUAUUAGAAAAUAAUGAAUAUAAGAGUGAUGGUGGAAAUUCUGUGUUUAGGGACACAAGAUGAGUGGAGAAGAAUGGUUUUGUUCUACUAACUGACAGGGUUAUAUAUAAGGCUGCAGCCAACAAAGCCAGCCUUGGGAUCAGGGAGGGCCCAAGCUGCUGCUGGUGGUGGGACUAAAUCCUGAGCUGUGUCCUGUGGUCUCUGGCUACUGAUGGGACAGUCAUACAGAAAACUUCUUUCAGCUCUAUCUCAGCUGUCAGGCAGUGAGCUCAGCUGGCAACCUGCAUCCCCUGCACUCGUCUCUGACCAUGGUUAUUUGGUAAAUUGUGUAUUAGUCAGAACAUAUCCUCCAUGAGAACCAGCUGUUGCAGCUUCAUUGCUGCCACUUACACCAGCUUGGGAUAAAUCACUUAUUUACAAAGUACCACUACUUUCAGAAAUUUUAAUAAUCACCCCAGAAGGAGCUUCAAUAGAAGUAUAAAAAUUCCAUGAUCUCAAGAGCCAGGUGUUGAUGUAUGUUUCUUAUGGAGAGAUGCAUUGUUUCUUGCCAGGUGCCAUAAAACUAGACUGUCCUCUAGAUUGCAACAUAUAUAUUCAAAUGAUAGUGUAAUUCAUGGCACAGAAAUAAAAAAAAAAAAAAGGGGACAAGUAGUAACAGAGACAGAUGAAUUAAUAAAGCCCUAAUUAUGGGUAUCAGAAAAAAUUUUAAGGGAAGAAACAUCCUAGCAGCCCCUGAGGCCCCUUUCUUCCUCAGGACAAGGCUUACAGGGCUGUGGCAACACCUCAGGUGCCCUUCAUUUAUCGUGGUCAGGACAAAGGACCUGAGCACCUACUGGCCAAGCCUUCCCUGAGCACAGGGCAGUGCCUUCCUGGCUGGGGAUUUGUGUGAGCAAAGCACUUGUGCUCUACUCCCACCCAAACCCCACCUCAAGGACACUGGGUGGAGAUGGAGAGGACAAAAGAGACAGCCAGUGCCCCAAGCACAUCUAUAAAUCCUGGUCACACCAGAGGAGAGAGAACAUUUCUACUUUAUCACCAAAGAGACUUGGUAUUUUGAGAGAUAAAAUUUUUUUAAAGCUCUGAAAGGGCAAACCCUGUAACAUUUUCAUUUACCUAUUUUUCAUUAAAUCUCCUCCACUUUCUGAUUACAUUCCAAAUUAUCAGACACAAGAAGGUAUUAGUAAACAAUAUCUUUAACCAAAAUGCAGUUUCCUCUCAUGUCAAAAAGAAAGAUAAUCUGUGUAACUUUGGGGAUUUGGAGGCCUUUCUAUCAGAAAACGUCUUUUCCUCGCAUUAGCUAAUUCAAGGGAACCUUCUAAAUAGUCCUCCAGAGACAGCAGUUCCCUUUUAUUGCAUUCAUCUGUCUUUUAUGGCUUUGCUCUCAUGAAAGAUUAAUAGCUGUAAAGGUCAAGGGUCAGUGUGAACAUUUAGUCUGACCUGCAUAGCAUAGGCUAUCAAAUUUUACCCAGUAAUUCUUGCACCGAAUCCCAUUAAUUGGAGAUAAAGCAACAUACAUCUUUUAGUAAGAAAUAUUUUCUUGAUUUAAAGGCUGCAAAUUAUGAGAAGCCUGCUCCAUAAAUUUGUUUCAUGGUUUAUUUACCCUGACCUGCAAAUUUUCUCUAGAGCUUAUUAAGAUUU
Long non-coding RNA from Melospiza melodia melodia, 2187 nucleotides. RefSeq lists it as uncharacterized. NCBI's taxonomy places the organism in Eukaryota, Metazoa, Chordata, Aves, Passeriformes, Passerellidae. The transcript has 3 exons. The record is from RefSeq and is a predicted model, not a curated record.